GGCCUACUAUGGUGGUAACGGGUAACGGGGAAUUAGGGUUCGAUUCCGGAGAGGGAGCCUGAGAAACGGCUACCACAUCCAAGGAAGGCAGCAGGCGCGCAAAUUACCCAAUCCCGACACGGGGAGGUAGUGACAAUAAAUAACAAUACGGGGCUCUUUCGGGUCUCGUAAUUGGAAUGAGUACAAUUUAAAUCCCUUAACGAGGAACAAUUGGAGGGCAAGUCUGGUGCCAGCAGCCGCGGUAAUUCCAGCUCCAAUAGCGUAUAUUAAAGUUGUUGCAGUUAAAAAGCUCGUAGUUGAAUUUCGGGAUUGACACAUCGGUCGUGCCUUAAGGGGUAUGAACUGGUGUAGUCAAUUUCUCACCUUCUGGAGAACCGCGAUGCCCUUAAUUGGGUGUCACGGGGAACCAGGACCUUUACUUUGAAAAAAUUAGAGUGUUUAAAGCAGGCAUUUUGCUUGAAUACAUUAGCAUGGAAUAAUAAAAUAGGACGGCAUGAUUCUAUUUUGUUGGUUUCUAGGAUCACCGUAAUGAUUAAUAGGGAUAGUUGGGGGCAUUAGUAUUCAAUUGUCAGAGGUGAAAUUCUUGGAUUUAUUGAAGACUAACUACUGCGAAAGCAUUUGCCAAGGAUGUUUUCAUUAAUCAAGAACGAAAGUUAGGGGAUCGAAGACGAUCAGAUACCGUCGUAGUCUUAACCAUAAACUAUGCCGACUAGGAAUCAGACGAUGUUAAUUUUUUAAUGACUCGUUUGGCACCUUACGGGAAACCAAAGUGUUUGGGUUC
This 781-nucleotide ribosomal RNA is filed under the name uncultured Glomus. RNAcentral describes it as "SSU rRNA". It matches the Rfam family "Eukaryotic small subunit ribosomal RNA", at positions 338 to 1114 of the family's 1831-position model. Lineage: Eukaryota; Fungi; Glomeromycota; Glomeromycetes; Glomerales; Glomeraceae. The record is from RNAcentral.